UGAGGGUCUUACCCUUGCUUCCCCGACCUUUUUAUCCCGUACUUUUUUUUUUUUAUAUUAAUAUAUCCCUUAUCAAGUCAUUCACCUAUUCUCCCCUCUGAUCUUAAAAACCUCCACCCAAACCAAGCCUAACCCCAAAAUAAAUCCCUCAUCCUCUCAAUCUGCCGUCACUUGCUCUUCCCUUCUCCAUUGAAUCAAAACAUUGCAAUGGUAAAUAGGGGCUCUUUCUCUCCCCUCAAUUUACUUACUUUUCAUCCUUACAUUUUUCUGAAGUUCAAGAAAUCAUCUAGUUAACGGGAGAUGUGGAAAAAUAAACAACAUAAACCAUCAUCAAUCGCAUUCAACUUUUCCCAAUAUUGAACCCUAUUCAACGUAUACUUCAGUUUUUCAAUGGCAGAAAUAAGUUCAACCUCUUAUGCUAAUAGAUCUGGAAAUUAGGAAGAAUUGUUCUCUUAAAUGAUAAGCGGAAUUCCUAUCAAAAUUGAGAUUUGCGUGAUUUCGUCACAAGAAAUGCUCAAUCAAAAGGAGAUGAAGAUGGAGUAUUCAAGUCUUUAUUGAUGUAACUAUAAUUGUAAAUUUCAGUAAAAUUCAAUUUUUUUUUCUUUUUUCAGUUGCAAUUUUAUGUUGGAUAAUUUUUUUUGUAUCACAUCAAUUAUACUUUAAUCUAUUCAUUCUAUUGCUAAUUUCUGUGGUCUUAAA
Molecule: long non-coding RNA, 699 nt
Organism: Chenopodium quinoa (quinoa)
Lineage: Eukaryota; Viridiplantae; Streptophyta; Magnoliopsida; Caryophyllales; Amaranthaceae
Exons: 2
Source: RefSeq, a predicted model, not a curated record